AAAUACUAAAAUGCUUAAAUAAAAUAAUAACCUCGAUGGAUAAGGACUCACUACUAUAACUGCUGCUGAUAGCCUGGGCUGCUAAGUACGGUCAGGAACCUGAGCGUUCAAACCUAUAUAUGAGAUAUCAUAGCGUAAAGAAAGAGUAUGCAUCAGUACGUGAAACAUACUGGUAUACUAAGUGAGGUAGGCUGAUAUACAUGGGUUCAUUUGCAUGAG
This 219-nucleotide long non-coding RNA is filed under the name Capsicum annuum. Its description in RNAcentral is "long non-coding RNA (CANN_LNC003122)". The record is from RNAcentral. Lineage: Eukaryota; Viridiplantae; Streptophyta; Magnoliopsida; Solanales; Solanaceae.